CAAUGGUGGACCGGGCGGGGGCGUCGCAAGACGCGCCGGUAUCCGAUGAGGCCGGUAAGGCUAACCCUGUUCGGCUCCACCUCC
Molecule: non-coding RNA, 84 nt
Filed under: Citrobacter europaeus
Lineage: Bacteria; Pseudomonadati; Pseudomonadota; Gammaproteobacteria; Enterobacterales; Enterobacteriaceae
Source: RNAcentral